Caretta caretta (loggerhead turtle) is the source of this 3440-nucleotide non-coding RNA. NCBI's taxonomy places the organism in Eukaryota, Metazoa, Chordata, Testudines, Cheloniidae. The record is from RefSeq and is a predicted model, not a curated record.
GAAAGAUUACCUUAGAUUUAUAAUAAGAUUAUGCAUUUGAUGGAUGACCUUGAGGUCAUGAUAAUUUAGUCACUGUCAAUAUACCUGUUCUUUGAACAGGUUCCUCAACCAGUACCAACAUAUUUGAUGUACCUCUCUACAGUAAGAUUGCAUUUGAAUAGAUGGCCUAAUUAUCUUUUUCAAUAAGAAAUGCUAUUCGUGUAAAAAACUGAUGUAGGAUGAAAGAUUACCAAAUGAUUAGUCUCCAUUUUAAAUUAUAAGAUUACAUCCAGAUAGAACAUAGAUUUCAAUUCAAAGCCCAGGCCUGAUUCUGCCUCAUGUAUUCAUGCUGAGUAGUCCCUUGCUCUGUGAGCAGGUUUGCAGAGUAAGGUGCUACUCAGCAUGAAAUGUGGCAGAAUCAGGCCUUCCAUGACCAGGGUGGAUAAAAAAAAAUAUUUUUUUUUAAAAAGAAUUUUUUAAAAUUUAAAUUGGACGUUUUUGAUAAAAUGCUUUUUGAGGAAAAAACCUAGCUAAAGAUAGUUUUAAUUCAGAUACAUUAUAGCUCAAAGAUAUCUCACCAUGGAAUAGGGAUUAUAAAUUCUAAUUCUACAGUGUGAGACAAUAUAUUCAUGUAAUGUUUAAGAAAAGUUUUGUAAAUGAGUUCCAAUAGUUCAUGGAUUAGGGACCCAAUCUUAUGGGGUUCCAGGGGCUUCUGUAUAGAUUAUUUAGGUUAAUCUUUCUAUCUACCCAAUGAGACUCAGUGCUCAGUCUAGAAGAUACCAUCAGAGAUGCUUAGUUUUGCAGUUCCCAAACUGUGAAUUUGUGUCUCCAGAGAUAACAUGCUUGUUAACAGCAAAAAUGUUUUUAAAAUAAGAGAGAGAGAGAAAGAGAGAGAAAGAAAGAGGUGAGAUAUAACAUACCUCAAUCCUAUUGUCCCUCUGAAAAUUUAUGUACAUAGGGUCAAUCCCUUACUUCUCCCUAAAAGUGCAAAGUUUCAAAAAGUUAAUGAAUAGAAGAUAGUUGGGGGCAGAACAGAUCUGGACAAGGAGAAGUCUGGAGAUAAAUGUGAGAAGGGAGGGACAGGCAGUAGAAACAAAAGUGAAACUGUUGGAGCAGCAUAUUCCAGAAGUCUUGAGGUCUUUCUGUGUGUAGCCGUCAUUGAUUUGAGAUCUAUCAUACCAUUCUCUCACUAGAAGGGAAAACCUAUAAUCACCUAUAUAAAAAGGCUGUAAAAGAGACCCAGUUUGGGAAUAUUUUAAUGAAGUUCCUCUACCUGUGGGUAAGACAGGCAUGCAUGCAAAAUGCAAACAGUGCAGCAAAGAAAUGCAAGGCCUGGUUGCCCCAAUGAAACAUCAUGAGAAGUGAUCCUUCUCAGGAGGAAGCUGCGUUGAAGAUGAAAGGAACAUGUCUGAACAUACAGGAUCUUCAGGAGAAUCCAUCCUCAACAUACAGGAUUCUGAAGACUAUCCACCUUCAAGAUCACCAUCAUUUUCUAUAGUUUCAGAGUUAUCUGCCAGUGAUAAUGUUUCAGUCGUAUCAUGUAUGUCACAUAACCACAGUAUAUCACCUGUAGCAAAAAGAAAAAAACCUCCAUCAUCCAGGAACAACCAUAAAUAAAUUUGUGAUAAGAACCAGCAGAUUACAAAAAGAGGUAAUUGAUGAAAAAAUUGCACAGUUUGUUUAUGCAACAAACUCUCCUUUCUGUAUUUUUGAGAACCCACACUUCAUUAACAUGAUUCAGUCAUUAAGACCAGGAUACAUUCCUCCCAACAGAACAGAGGUCACAGGAAAAUUGCUGGAUAAAGUGUAUGAAAGAGAAAUUGAGCAGUGUGCAAAUGGUCUAGAGGGUGAAAUUGUUAACCUGAGUUUUGGUGGGUGCAGCAAUGUCCACAAUGAUCCUGUUGUAUGUGCUUGUGUGACAACAGAAGAAGGGAAUGUCUUCCUCACAGAAACAACUGAUACAUCAGGAAAUGCACACACAGCAGAAUACUUACAAGAAGUAGCAGUAAAAAGCUAUAACAAAGUGUGAAAAAAAUUAAAAUAUCUAAUACGCAGCUUGGUCACAGACAAUGCUGCAAAUAUAUCCAAGAUGAGAAGAAAUUAUUUAGAAGACAGUUCCAAGCUAACAACAUACAGUUGCAGUGCUCAUUUGAUGCACCUCCUAGGCAAAGACUUCAGUGUUCCAGAAAUAAAGGCUAAUGUUGUUGAAAUUGCAAAAUAGUUCCAUAACAUCCACUUCGCAGCAGCUGCUCCGAAAAAAGUGGGAUGGAACUCAGCAGUGGACUGUGUUGAGCACUAGAUCAAGAACUGGCCUAUUCUGAUGACAGUUUGUGAACAAAAUCGUGGAAAAAAUAGAUGGCACUGUUACAGCCAAAGCUCUCAACACUGGGCUUAAGAGAAAUGUUGAACACAUGCUGAGUACCCUGAAGCCUAUUUCUGUAGCCUUGAUCAAAAUGCAGGGAAAUAGCAGUUUUAUUGCUGAUGCUGUUGAAAUUUGGAAAGAACUGGGUGAGAUCUUAAGAGAAAUAUGCAAUGACAGAGUUAAAUUAUAAGCAUUAAAAAAAAACAGGACAAGCACUAUUUCCAGCUCAUCUUCUUGCAAAUAUUCUCAAUACCUGGUACCAGGUUCAAACUUUAACUGCUGAAGAAGAGGACUUGGCUACGACAUGAACAUCCAGCAAUCAUCCCUCCAGAAUGCCAACUAUAAUAAACUUCAGAGCGAAGGGUGAUGUUUUACAGAAAGUCACACCAGUGAACUGGUGAAAAUCAGUUAAGCACUUGGAUUCAGAGACUAUUGAAGUGAAUCUCACUUUUAACAGCAGUAGCUUCUUCUGCCAGUGUAGAAAAAAUAUUUUCUUCCAUUCGACUAAUUCAUUCCAAAUUGAGAAAUCGUUUGGACCUGAAAAAGCAGAAAAGCUUGUUUUUCUUUUCCAGAUUAUGAACAAACAGGAAAAUGAAGGGGAAAAUGACUGAGUUAGCUGCAGAAGCCAAUAUUUUAAGUUUUUCAUGUUGACGUGGCUGACGGACAAUUUAAUUUUUGUUUUUAUUUUAAAAAAAUAUUUCGUUUAACUAUUUUAGAUAAAAACAAUUUUAACAAAAACAAACCUGAUUUUAAAAAACUUGAAUGUUGAGCAUAUGAAUUUUUGAAUUUAGUUUUGUUAAAAUAUUAUAUAUUUGCUGUUGAAGAAAAAAAUCCAGAAUACAUAAUGUUGUUGUUUCAGUUAAAUAAAACAAUUUAAAUGUUUGUCUGGUGAUGUUCUCCGCCUAAUACAGCAUGGCAAGAAAAUCCUCCAAAUAUUAAUGAUUAACCUGUUGAAUUGGAGAUAGUUUACCUCCCAAUGACUUCAUAAAUAUCUGCUUCAAUUGUUUUUGGUAAAUGAAAUAACCGAACAAUCAUUCAUUUUCUGAUAUAGCUGUAAAACUAAUCUGAAAAGUUUUCAUAAUAAAUCACUUUAAAAACG